Molecule: long non-coding RNA, 1148 nt
Filed under: Heterocephalus glaber (naked mole-rat)
Lineage: Eukaryota; Metazoa; Chordata; Mammalia; Rodentia; Bathyergidae
Description: lncRNA (ENSHGLG00100045063.1)
Source: RNAcentral
GUGAAAACAUACCUAAAAAUUAACCUAGAGACUUGGUGCUUUUUAUAUUUUAUAGAUAUACACUUUUACUUUAUGUAAACAAUUGUUAAAGAUAAAACUAAGGUUCAAUUAUAACAGUAUAAAGACUUUGUCAUAAAUUCUUUAAAAAGAAAAUAUUAAUAGCAUAACAUAAAUUUUAUAUACUUAUUGGAUGAUAGAAAGUGGGCAACAAAUAUUCCUACCUGACCUACAACCAUUAUCAGCUGGGUUAUGUUAUACUAAUUCUCAAAUCUGAUGUUGAAAUUUUCCUUCAUUUUAGUAUCAUCUUGAAAAUUAACUGAGUUUUACUAGCACAUAGUCAUAGUAAGUAUAAUGCAUCCUUUGGGCUUUGAUUGCAUUGGCCAAUCUGAGAAGAGCAUUAGAACAAAGCAAAGAAAAUCAUGCUAUAAGGACAGAAAAACUAGAAAAAUGAAAAUCUUUUCUCAGCCCCAGACCUUAUAUCUUUGCUUAUGGCGUAAAUCCUUAAUUUUUAUUAUAUGUAAAAAAGUACAGAAUAUUUUGUUGCUCCCGAAUGGCCAGUGUGUUAAAAGCCAGGGUUUUUUUUCUUCUUACAAUGUUAUACCAAAAUUAGAAUGCAUAGUAUUAGAAUAGAGAGCAAUGUAUAUUCUAAACACAGGCUCAUUUAGGGGAGAAUGUAAACUUUAUGCAAACAGUUCUUCUCAGUUUUGUAGGAAAGAUUUUUUAAAAACCUUAUACUCUACCUGAAAAUAAAAAGAAAUUAAUAACCAGUCUAGAUUAUAAAAAGGGGGGGGACCAAAAAUUUUCAUUUAUUUCAAUAUGCCCAGAAGAAAAUAUGAAACAUUUCUACACUACUUCUCCUGCAAACUUUCCUCCUAUUUUAAAAGAAAAAUCAAAAGGAAUAUGCCAUGGACUCUCUUCACAUAUGAUACUGGAUCUAAUGGAAGAGAACACGCCAAGACACAGCACAUUAAAAAAAAAAAGUAAGCUGUCCACAAGAACUGUUUGGUUCUUGACUGAAAAAUAUCAACCCCACCCAAGACUGAGCAAUAUCUUUCUGAGUUGAUGUGCAUCCUGCUUUGCCAACAUCUUGAUUAUGUCUGAUGUCCCACAAUAAAUAUUAACAAUGCCUCCUUUCACUCCUAAAUGCC